This 82-nucleotide transfer RNA is filed under the name Micrococcales bacterium. RNAcentral describes it as "tRNA-Leu". It matches the Rfam family "tRNA". From Rfam's summary of the family: Transfer RNA (tRNA) molecules are approximately 80 nucleotides in length. Their secondary structure includes four short double-helical elements and three loops (D, anti-codon, and T loops). RNAcentral also lists the same sequence under 2 other names. Lineage: Bacteria; Bacillati; Actinomycetota; Actinomycetes; Micrococcales. The record is from RNAcentral.
GCGGGUGUGGCGAAAUUGGCAGACGCACCAGAUUUAGGUUCUGGCGCCGCGAGGCGUGGGGGUUCAAGUCCCUUCACCCGCA